GAGUACGGCCGCAAGGCUGAAACUUAAAGGAAUUGGCGGGGGAGCACUACAACGGGUGGAGCCUGCGGUUUAAUUGGACUCAACGCCGGAAAACUCACCGGGGGCGACAGCAAUAUGUAGGUCAGGUUAAAGGUCUUACCUGAAUCGCUGAGAGGAGGUGCAUGGCCGUCGUCAGUUCGUACUGUGAAGCAUCCUGUUAAGUCAAGCAACGAGCAAGACCCGUGCCCACUGUUACCAGCAUAUCCUUUAUGGAUGAUGGGGACUCUGUGGGGACCGCUGCUGCUAAAGCAGAGGAAGGUGCGGGCUACGGUAGGUCAGUAUGCCCCGAAUCUCCCGGGCUACACGCGGGCUACAAUGGUUGGGACAAUGGGUAUCUACUCCGAAAGGAGUUGGCAAUCUCUUAAACCCAAUCGUAGUUCGAAUUGAGGGCUGUAACUCGCCCUCAUGAAGCUGGAAUCCGUAGUAGUCGCGUUUCAACAUAGCGCGGUGAAUCUGUCCCUGCUCCUUGCACACACCGCCCGUCAAACCAUCCGAGUGAGGUAUGGGUGAGGGCACGAACUUAGUGCCGUGCUCGAACCUAAAUUUCGCAAGGAGGGUUAAGUCGUAACAAGGUAGCCGUAGGGGAAUCUGCGGCUGGAUCACCUCCU
This 647-nucleotide ribosomal RNA is filed under the name uncultured archaeon. RNAcentral describes it as "bacterial SSU rRNA". It matches the Rfam family "Archaeal small subunit ribosomal RNA", at positions 833 to 1478 of the family's 1478-position model. The record is from RNAcentral.